AGCCCAGCGCCGAAUCCCCGUCCCGCGGUGGGGCGUGGGAAAUGUGGCGUACAGAAGACCCACUCCCCGGUGCCGCUCUCGGGGGCCCAAGUCCUUCUGAUCGAGGCACAGCCUGUGGACGGUGUGAGGCCGGUAGCGGCCCCCGGCGCGCCGGGACCGGGUCUUCUUGGAGUCGGAUUGCUUGGGAAUGCAGCCCAAAGCUGGUGGUAAACUCCAUCUAAGGUU
Non-coding RNA from Chelonia mydas (Green sea turtle), 225 nucleotides. The record is from Rfam. Lineage: Eukaryota; Metazoa; Chordata; Testudines; Cheloniidae.